RNAcentral lists this ribosomal RNA (441 nucleotides) under uncultured bacterium. Its description in RNAcentral is "partial 16S ribosomal RNA". It matches the Rfam family "Bacterial small subunit ribosomal RNA", at positions 338 to 795 of the family's 1533-position model. The record is from RNAcentral.
CCUACGGGAGACAGCAGUGGGGAAUAUUGCACAAUGGGUGAAACCCUGAUGCAGCAACGCCGCGUGAAGGAAGCCGGUUUUCUGAUUUUAAACUUCUUUUCUUAGUGAAUAAUAAUGACGCUAGCUCAGGAGCAAGCCACGGCUAACUACUUGCCAGCAGCCGCGGUAAUACGUAGUUGGCAAGCGUUGUCCGGAAUUACUGGGUGUAUAGGGAGCGCAGGCGGGAAGACAAGUCAGCUGUGAAAACUACGGGCUUAACUUGUAGACUGCAGGUGAAACUGGUUUUCUUGAGUGAAGUAGAGGUUGGCGGAAUUCCGAGGGUAGCGGUGAAAUGCGUAGAUAUUCGGAGGAACACCGGUGGCGAAGGCGGCCAACUGGGCUUUAACUGACGCUGAGGCUCGAAAGUGUGGGGAGCAAACAGGAUUAGAUACCCGGGUAGUC